This 510-nucleotide ribosomal RNA is filed under the name Hexachaeta seabrai. RNAcentral describes it as "partial small subunit ribosomal RNA". The stretch from base 394 to 510 matches the Rfam family "Bacterial large subunit ribosomal RNA", at positions 2473 to 2590 of the family's 2925-position model. Lineage: Eukaryota; Metazoa; Arthropoda; Insecta; Diptera; Tephritidae. The record is from RNAcentral.
AAACAUGUCUUUUUGAGUUAUUUUUAAAGUCUGACCUGCCCACUGAGUAUUUUAAAUGGCCGCAGUAUUCUGACUGUGCAAAGGUAGCAUAANCAUUAGUCUUUUAAUUGAAGGCUGGUAUGAAUGGUUGGACGAAGUAUAUNCUGUUUCAUAUAAAUUUAUAAUUGAAUUUUAUAUUUUAGUUAAAAAGCUAAAAUUUAUUUAAAAGACGAGAAGACCCUAUAAAUCUUUAUAUUUAGUAUUGUUUAAAUUUUUUGGAUUUGUUUUAUUUUUAUUUUAUUAAAUAUUUUGUUGGGGUGAUGUUAAAAUUUAAUAAACUUUUAAUUUAUUUAAGUCAUUAAUUUAUGAUUUGUUGAUCCAUUAAUAAUGAUUAUAAGAUUAAGUUACUUUAGGGAUAACAGCGUAAUUUUUUUGGAGAGUUCAUAUCGAUAAAAAAGUUUGCGACCUCGAUGUUGGAUUAAGAAAUACCUUAGGUGUAGCCGCUUAAGUAACAAGUCUGUUCGACUUUUA